GGGAGAUUAUAAAGGAUAAGGAUAUGAAGGAAACUUUUAUUUUAGAGGCCCUUAGCCAACCCACCUUUAUCGAUACUUCAUUUCUUUACACAGGACGUGUGAGCCCUUAUCCUUUUCUUUAUCUCAUAUUAUAAAUAUUCCUAAUCACCUUCCUCCUCAAAGCUCUCUCUCUCUCUAAUGGAGAAUCCGACUGCAACGAUGACCUUCAACAUGGAUUCCCUCCCAAACAUUCUUCCAAACAAGAGAGGGUUGUCAAGGUACUACUCAGGGAAAUCAAGAUCAUUUGCAUGCAUGGAAGACGUUCAAUGCCUUGAAGAUUUGAAGAAAAAAGAACAUCCAGAUGCCAAGAAAAGAAAGAAAUUUUCUGAGAGGAGGGAAUCCCACAUUCCUCCAUAUCAGUGUCGAAAGCUAUCAAGCACUACACCGUCUCUAGAUUUUGAACAAAUUAAUUCUUUAGUUGUUUAGCCAUCACAACAGGAAAUGUUUUAUUUCUUAUCUUGAAAAUUUUCAAUUUCUAAUUUUUUUUUUU
Molecule: long non-coding RNA, 529 nt
Organism: Manihot esculenta (cassava)
Lineage: Eukaryota; Viridiplantae; Streptophyta; Magnoliopsida; Malpighiales; Euphorbiaceae
Exons: 2
Source: RefSeq, a predicted model, not a curated record